GUCGGGAUAGCUCAGUUGGUANAGCAGA
This 28-nucleotide transfer RNA is filed under the name Rhynchospora rigidifolia. Its description in RNAcentral is "partial tRNA-Phe". The record is from RNAcentral. Lineage: Eukaryota; Viridiplantae; Streptophyta; Magnoliopsida; Poales; Cyperaceae.